Molecule: ribosomal RNA, 254 nt
Filed under: uncultured bacterium
Lineage: Bacteria
Description: partial 16S ribosomal RNA
Rfam family: Bacterial small subunit ribosomal RNA
Source: RNAcentral
UACGGGGGGAGCAAGCGUUGUUCGGAUUUACUGGGCGUAAAGGGCGCGUAGGCGGCCUCCGCAAGUCAAUUGUGAAAUCUCCGGGCUUAACUCGGAAAGGUCAACUGAUACUGCGGGGCUAGAGUGCGGAAGGGGCUACUGGAAUUCUUGGUGUAGCGGUGAAAUGCGUAGAUAUCAAGAGGAACACCUGCGGCGAAGGCGGGUUGCUGGGCCGACACUGACGCUGAGGCGCGAAAGCUAGGGGAGCGAACGGG